UCGGUGAAUUUAUUUUUAAGAAAAUAGAUAUGACAACACCGGAUCACAGCCCUGUAUUAUUAAGCGAUCUCAGUCUCAGACUCUCAGGUAAACCGAUCGAAUCCUCGGCCAUCCUCCUCGUAAUCACCUUCCUGUAAUCCCGCUACAGCUGCCGCCCACACUUCAUCCCGCAACGUUACCCACGCGCCGCCGUCAAAACACCGAAGGGCUCCAUUCAUCCACAAUUUAGCGUGGGUUUCCGCUGAACUAAAUAGACUAUAUGUGGUCAUAGUCAAGUUGUUUUCGCUAAUUCGUAGUUAAUCUACGUGGGGAGAAUGACAAGUCUGGAAAUUUGAAUGUUGAUGGGUGGCUUCUUAUUUUUUAAGUCCUUGUAACCCACUUUACGAGAGAGUUCAUUCUCUCAAAAUAGAUCACCUUUAAUUCAAAAAAAAAAGUAUUUAUUUUAGUAAGUGGAACACAUCCUUUCGCAGGCGAGUUCCCCCUCUGCCGAUCCGCUCUCCGAGUUGACUCCCUGUUUAACUCAGUCAGUAGUUUUAGCUUCCAAUUAAUUUUUAUCUCUUUGGAGUGAUUAAUUUUUAUCAUCUUCGGCUUCAGUAGUAGUUCUAGACUGGCCUUUAGUGGUUUUUUUAAAUAUUCGAAUGUGCGAGCAAGUUUGCAUGCAUCUCGUCUUAUUUCGAGGCCUUGAAGUUAACGGCCGAGCAAACUUUUGGCCAUAACAUUUGGAAUUUUUGGCAUUCAUUAGAUUUGAACUUGCAACCUCUUGAGGGACAAGCCAUUUAGUUGCUUUUCUAGCAAACUGUUUGGGUUUAUUUACCUUUAGACUUUGCUAAAGAUGCAAUUAAAUCAUCUCUGGGAGCAAAACCAUUCCUUACCAGCCAGGAAAAAAUAGUCACCACUGCUUGAAUUCUCACACUAAUGUUUGGAUUUCCCGAAACUGAGCCUCCAAUUAAUUUUUUACCAUAUUCUGCUUUGUGACUCAACUCAAGCAACCAUGGAAGCUGUAGAGCCACAAAGGACAAAAUUUUACCGUUUUCGCAAAGGAAAGUUUCCGAUCUAGAGCCAACAAGAGCAAGUAUGUUUCUAAUAUCUCUGAUAUGUACUUCUUGAUCUUUAUGCGUGUAGGAUCAGGCGGCUAUGGUUAUUCACUACAAUAAUAUUUGCUCAUCUGCUUUAACUACGAGUCAGUACUGUGACUUGGCGUGCAAAAUCUCAUGAUUCUUACUCAUUAACAGGGAAAGAAAGGAGAUGGACCUAUUGCAGAUUCUCCCCUGCACAUCUGCCCUCCGUCGCAUAAGAUUUGAGGGAGGUUAAAUUGUCUAGUACCACCACCAGUCAGUCUUUGCUAUAUUGUGUAACUACUGGAGAAUUGUGUUGAGCAUUGGAAGCUGAAAGCUUAAAACAGAACUACUGUUCAAGGUGAGUGACGAGAUGGACUCAAAGACUGUUUGGCAGUGAACCUGAACACCUGUUUUGAGUUAAUUCGACGCACUAUGUAUGGAUGUGUCGUAGUUUUGCUAAUGCUGUUGAAGCCUAAGAAAAAGGAGAGCUGACAGUUGCUUAGCUGAAACAAUACAUUUUCUUUAGAAGCAAACGCAUCUUGCGGAACCUGAAGUGUUACCUUGUUGAAUGUAAAGUAUGAACUAGAGUCAAUAGUAGUAGUGAAGCACGAAGGUAGCACUGAUGGUCAUGGUUAAUAGACAUUAGUUAUGAUGCAACAAGGAAGCGAACGCCUUUUAGUUUUGCUGCAAUAAUGUUCAUGGUUAAUAGACAUGUGUUUGUACUAGUUCAUGAAUGAAUGGAAUGAAGAUUUGUUAUGAAAA
Molecule: long non-coding RNA, 1820 nt
Organism: Rhododendron vialii
Lineage: Eukaryota; Viridiplantae; Streptophyta; Magnoliopsida; Ericales; Ericaceae
Exons: 2
Source: RefSeq, a predicted model, not a curated record